UUUAAGGGUGUUCAAAUCUAAAUCAAUUCAAAUAAAAAUUAUAAUUUGAUUCAAAAAAUCAAAAAUCAUAAAAAACUGAAUAUUAUUAGAUGUAUUUUGAUGUCAUUUUGUAAAAUUGUUCUGUUCGAAUUGGAUUUUAAAUUGAUUUUUCAAAAUCAAUCCUAACCGAAUCGAACCGUGUGUAUAUAUUUGUAUCCUUAUUUUUAUUUAUUAAUAUGAUAGGUUGAGAAUUUAUUAUUUGAUUAUAUUUAUUUUUUAAUAUUAUUUAUUUGUUUAAUU
This 279-nucleotide long non-coding RNA is filed under the name Lathyrus oleraceus (garden pea). Its description in RNAcentral is "Pisum sativum (pea) long non-coding RNA (PSAT_LNC023241)". Lineage: Eukaryota; Viridiplantae; Streptophyta; Magnoliopsida; Fabales; Fabaceae. The record is from RNAcentral.